GUAGCGCCCGCGCCUCGGCGCGGGCGAGGAUUGAAAC
Gallionellales bacterium GWA2_60_18 is the source of this 37-nucleotide non-coding RNA. The record is from Rfam. NCBI's taxonomy places the organism in Bacteria, Pseudomonadati, Pseudomonadota, Betaproteobacteria, Nitrosomonadales.